ACAAGCGGCGGACGGGUGAGUAACGCGUAGGAAUCUACCUAGUAGUGGGGGACAACAGUUGGAAACGACUGCUAAUACCGCAUACGCCCUAAGGGGGAAAGCGGGGGAUCUUCGGACCUCGUGCUAUUAGAUGAGCCUGCGUGAGAUUAGCUAGUUGGUGAGGUAAAGGCUCACCAAGGCGACGAUCUCUAGCUGGUCUGAGAGGAUGAUCAGCCACACUGGGACUGAGACACGGCCCAKACUCCUACGGGAGGCAGCAGUGGGGAAUAUUGGACAAUGGGCGCAAGCCUGAUCCAGCCAUGCCGCGUGUGUGAAGAAGGCCUUCGGGUUGUAAAGCACUUUCAGAAGGGAGGAAAGGUUGUGUGUUAAUAGCACAUAGCUGUGACGUUACCUUCAGAAGAAGCACCGGCUAACUCCGUGCCAGCAKCCGCGGUAAUACGGAGGGUGCAAGCGUUAAUCKGAAUUACUGGGCGUAAAGCGCGCGUAGGUUGUUUGUUAAGCGAKAUGUGAAAGCCCCGGGCUUAACCUGGGAACUGCAUUUCKAACUGNCAAGCUAUAGUACAGUAKAGGGUAGUUGGAAUUUCCUGUGUARCGGUGAAAUGCGUAUAGAUGGNAAAUGAACAUCAUUGGCGAAUGCCACUGUU
Molecule: ribosomal RNA, 644 nt
Filed under: uncultured bacterium
Lineage: Bacteria
Description: bacterial SSU rRNA
Rfam family: Bacterial small subunit ribosomal RNA
Source: RNAcentral